Long non-coding RNA from Macrobrachium nipponense, 242 nucleotides. RefSeq lists it as uncharacterized. The transcript is spliced from 2 exons. The record is from RefSeq and is a predicted model, not a curated record. NCBI's taxonomy places the organism in Eukaryota, Metazoa, Arthropoda, Malacostraca, Decapoda, Palaemonidae.
GCAUUUGAUAAGUUGAGAGAAAGGGUCACAAAAGCAAAAAGAUAUGGAAGCAAAACGACAACCAACAACCAGUACAAAGGCCCAUAUGAUCAUUAAAAAUUGACUGCGCCUGACAGGAAUUCAGGUGGGACAGACGGGAAGUUUACAAGAAAAAAAACUAGGAAAAUAUGAGAGAGAGAGAGAGAGAGAGAGAGAGAGAGAGAGAGAGAGAGAGAGAGAGAGAGAGAGAGAGAGAGAGAGAG